Long non-coding RNA from Oncorhynchus tshawytscha (Chinook salmon), 1187 nucleotides. The record is from Ensembl. Lineage: Eukaryota; Metazoa; Chordata; Actinopteri; Salmoniformes; Salmonidae.
GUUCUGAAGGAGUGGUGGGGCAGGUUCUGAAGGAGUGGUUGGGCAGGUUCUGAAGGAGUGGUUGGGCAGGUUCUGAAGGAGUGGUUGGGCAGGUUCUAAAGGAGUGGUUGGGCAUGUUCUAAAGGAGUGGUUGGGCAGGUUCUAAAGGAGUGGUUGGGCAGGUUCUAAAGGAGUGGUUGGGCAGGUUCUAAAGGAGUAGUUGGGCAGGUUCUAAAGGAGUGGUUGGGCAGGUUCUGAAGGAGUGGUGGGGCAGGUUCUGAAGGAGUGGUUGGGCAGGUUCUGAAGGAGUGGUUGGGCAGGUUCUAAAGGAGUGGUUGGGCAUGUUCUAAAGGAGUGGUUGGGCAGGUUCUAAAGGAGUAGUUGGGCAGGUUCUAAAGGAGUGGUUGGGCAGGUUCUAAAGGAGUAGUUGGGCAGGUUCUAAAGGAGUGGUUGGGCAGGUUCUGAAGGAGUGGUGGGGCAGGUUCUGAAGGAGUGGUUGGGCAGGUUCUGAAGGAGUGGUUGGGCAGGUUCUGAAGGAGUGGUUGGGCAGGUUCUGAAGGAAUGGUUGGGCAGGUUCUGAAGGAGUGGUUGGGCAGGAUCUAAAGGAGUGGUUAGGCAGGUUCUAAAGGAGUGGUUGGGCAGGUUCUAAAGGAGUGGUUGGGCAGGUUCUGAAGGAGUGGUUGGGCAGGUUCUAAACGAGUGGUUGGGCAGGAUCUAAAGGAGUGGUUAGGCAGGUUCUAAAGGAGUGGUUGGGCAGGUUCUAAAGGAGUGGUUGGGCAGGUUCUGAAGGAGUGGUUGGGCAGGUUCUAAACGAGUGGUUGGGCAGGUUCUGAAGGAGUAGUUGGUGGCUCUAUCCACGUUGCACUUAAUUCCUUGGUCUCUCUUGGGUAUGUUCAGAGCUCCUGCAGAGGGUGAGUGUGUUUUCGGCUGCAACACAACCUAGGGAACCAUACUUUUUGCAGUCUUUGGGCUGGUUUGCAUUGAAGAUAUGGCCCCUACAAUGUCCUAAUUGGAUAAUUGAUGGCAUGUGCUGCAAUCUUCCGAAGUCUUUUCAUGUGACUGAAGAGGCUUCUUCUCUCAAAGCUUAGACCUUGGAACUGAGAUACUCCUAUUGGUUCCCAGAGCAAUGUUCUGGGUGUACUGCCAAUUGGUCUGAGGAGGUCGUCACAGUCACCUGCAUGAACCAAGAUGGAGUGAGAGGAGAUGCU